GAUGAACGCUGGCGGCGUGCCUAAUACAUGCAAGUCGAGCGAACAGACGAGGAGCUUGCUCCUCUGACGUUAGCGGCGGACGGGUGAGUAACACGUGGAUAACCUACCUAUAAUACUGGUAUAACUUCGAGAAACCGGAGCUAAUACCGGAUAAUAUAUUGAACCGCAUGGUUCAAUAGUGAAAGUCGGUUUUGCUGUCACUUAUAGAUGGAUCCCCGCCGCAUUAGCUAGUUGGUAAGGUAACGGCUUACCAAGGCAACGAUGCGUAGCCGACCUGAGAGGGUGAUCGGCCACACUGGAACUGAGACACGGUCCAGACUCCUACGGGAGGCAGCAGUAGGGAAUCUUCCGCAAUGGGCGAAAGCCUGACGGAGCAACGCCGCGUGAGUGAUGAAGGUCUUCGGAUCGUAAAACUCUGUUAUUAGGGAAGAACAAAUGUGUAAGUAACUAUGCACGUCUUGACGGUACCUAAUCAGAAAGCCACGGCUAACUACGUG
This 497-nucleotide ribosomal RNA is filed under the name uncultured bacterium. RNAcentral describes it as "partial 16S ribosomal RNA". It matches the Rfam family "Bacterial small subunit ribosomal RNA", at positions 28 to 507 of the family's 1533-position model. The record is from RNAcentral.